Molecule: ribosomal RNA, 253 nt
Filed under: uncultured bacterium
Lineage: Bacteria
Description: partial 16S ribosomal RNA
Rfam family: Bacterial small subunit ribosomal RNA
Source: RNAcentral
UACGUAGGGGGCGAGCGUUAUCCGGAAUUACUGGGUGUAAAGGGAGCGUAGACGGCGAGGUAAGCCUGAGGUGGAAGCCCGCGGCCCAACCGCGGAACUGCUUUGGGAACUGUUUUGCUGGAGUAUGGGAGGGGUAAGCGGAAUUCCUGGUGUAGCGGUGAAAUGCGUAGAUAUCAGGAGGAACACCGGUGGCGAAGGCGGCUUACUGGACCAUAACUGACGUUGAGGCUCGAAAGCGUGGGGAGCGAACAGG